AGCAGCCGCGGUAAUUCCGGCUCCAAUAGCGUAUAUUAAAGUUGUUGCAGUUAAAAAGCUCGUAGUUGAAUUUCGGGAUCAAUUUAUUGGUCGUGCUAUUGUACGUACUGGUAUUAUUGAUUCCUACCUUCUGACGAACCAUGAUGUCAUUAAUUUGGUGUCAUGGGGAAUCAGGACUGUUACUUUGAAAAAAUUAGAGUGUUUAAAGCAGGCUCACGCUUGAAUACAUUAGCAUGGAAUAACGAAAUAGGACGUUUGAUUCUAUUUUGUUGGUUUCUAGGAUCGACGUAAUGAUUAAUAGGGAUAGUUGGGGGCAUUAGUAUUCAAUUGUCAGAGGUGAAAUUCUUGGAUUUAUUGAAGACUAACUACUGCGAAAGCAUUUGCCAAGGAUGUUUUCAUUAAUCAAGAACGAAAGUUAGGGGAUCGAAGACGAUCAGAUACCGUCGUAGUCUUAACCAUAAACUAUGCCGACUAGGGAUCGGAUGAUGUUAAUUUUUAAUGACUCAUUCGGCGUCCG
RNAcentral lists this ribosomal RNA (517 nucleotides) under uncultured Glomus. RNAcentral describes it as "SSU rRNA". It matches the Rfam family "Eukaryotic small subunit ribosomal RNA", at positions 569 to 1089 of the family's 1831-position model. The record is from RNAcentral. Lineage: Eukaryota; Fungi; Glomeromycota; Glomeromycetes; Glomerales; Glomeraceae.